GGAGUAAUCCGCUAUGAGAUGGACCCGCGUCGCAUUAGCUAGUUGGUAAGGUAACGGCUCACCAAGGCGACGAUGCGUAGCCGACCUGAGAGGGUGAUCGGCCACAUUGGGACUGAGACACGGCCCAGACUCCUACGGGAGGCAGCAGUGGGGAAUAUUGCACAAUGGGGGAAACCCUGAUGCAGCAACGCCGCGUGAGUGAUGACGGUCUUCGGAUCGUAAAGUUCUGUCGCAGGGGAAGAUAAUGACGGUACCAGAGGAGGAAGCCACGGCUAACUAC
RNAcentral lists this ribosomal RNA (280 nucleotides) under uncultured bacterium. RNAcentral's name for it is "partial 16S ribosomal RNA". It matches the Rfam family "Bacterial small subunit ribosomal RNA", at positions 202 to 504 of the family's 1533-position model. The record is from RNAcentral.